This 286-nucleotide long non-coding RNA is filed under the name Rattus norvegicus (Norway rat). RNAcentral describes it as "long non-coding RNA NONRATT014047". The record is from RNAcentral. Lineage: Eukaryota; Metazoa; Chordata; Mammalia; Rodentia; Muridae.
GGCUGGGAAGAGGGCGCUUAUAGACAUCCUCCGGCAUCCUUUGUACUCACGGCGUGAUGCUGCUGCUGAUGUGCUUUUGCUCCGUAACAGAUGAACCAGGGGCCGCUGGGUCAACAGACUACAAUUCCAGUGCUUUACUGAGAGUCAGGGAGGCCAGCAGGUCCAUCCUAAGAACGGGUUUGAUCCUCUCAUGCAAGACUGCAAAGGGCUUAUUUUUUGCCAUCUGUAAAAGGCUCUUGGUUGAGAGUUUGAUAACUGAGUCCUUUAAAGAGGCCGUCAAAAGUCA